This is a long non-coding RNA of Amphimedon queenslandica, 593 nucleotides long. RefSeq lists it as uncharacterized. The record is from RefSeq and is a predicted model, not a curated record. The transcript has 4 exons. NCBI's taxonomy places the organism in Eukaryota, Metazoa, Porifera, Demospongiae, Haplosclerida, Niphatidae.
UUCUGUUUGAUUCUCUUUCCCCUUUCUAUUUUUCUCCAGGUUGUUGGUCUUAAUGUCUCAUCAGCCACUACCCCUGAGCUAUUAUUAAAGAGGUUUGAUCAUUAAUGUGAGUACAAGAGGACUCCCAAUGGAGUUGUGAUGGCUCCUUCUCAACUCAGAAAGUGGCUGGUUCUCUUCUGUGACGAGAUUAACCUUCCAGACCUUGACAUAUAUGGUACACAGGGAGUAAUAUCGUUCUUACGUCAGAUUGUCGAACACGGCGGAUUUUACAGGACCUCCGAUCACACGUGGGUGACAAUAGAGAGGAUACAGUUUGUAGGAGCGUGUAACCCACCAACUGACCGGGGAAGGAAACCACUGUCUCACAGAACUAAGAACCCUGUCAGGAAACACUCAUUAUUUCAUACUCAAUCCCUCUAGGACGUUGAGAGCUACGACCCAAUCCUGAACCCUGUCCUAUCCUAGACGACAACAGAAUCAUUACUGAGCUUGAGACUCUUAAGGAAGAGGCUGCAGAAGUUCAGAGGAAGAUGGAGGAGACUGAUACUGUAAUGGCUAAAGUUGACAGAGUCUCCCAGCAAUACCUGCCUCUC